This 495-nucleotide ribosomal RNA is filed under the name uncultured bacterium. RNAcentral's name for it is "partial 16S ribosomal RNA". It matches the Rfam family "Bacterial small subunit ribosomal RNA", at positions 28 to 507 of the family's 1533-position model. The record is from RNAcentral.
GACGAACGCUGGCGGCGUGCCUAAUACAUGCAAGUAGAACGCUGAAGGAGGAGCUUGCUUCUCCGGAUGAGUUGCGAACGGGUGAGUAACGCGUAGGUAACCUGCCUGGUAGCGGGGGAUAACUAUUGGAAACGAUAGCUAAUACCGCAUAAGAGUAGAUGUCGCAUGACAUUUGCUUAAAAGGUGCAACUGCACCACUACCAGAUGGACCUGCGCUGUAUUAGCUAGUUGGUGAGGUAACGGCUCACCAAGGCAACGAUACAUAGCCGACCUGAGAGGGUGCUCGGCCACCCUGGGACUGCGACACGGCCCAGACUCCUACGGGAGGCAGCAGUAGGGAAUCUUCGGCAAUGGACGGAAGUCUGACCGAGCAACGCCGCGUGAGUGAAGAAGGUUUUCGGAUCGUAAAGCUCUGUUGUAAGAGAAGAACGAGUGUGAGAGUGGAAAGUUCACACUGUGACGGUAUCUUACCAGAAAGGGACGGCUAACUACGUG